UCCACGGUGGUCCAGUGGCUAAGACUCUGUACUCCAAACGCAGGGGGCCCAGGUUUGAUCCCUGGUCAGGGAA
Non-coding RNA from Bos taurus (domestic cattle), 73 nucleotides. NCBI's taxonomy places the organism in Eukaryota, Metazoa, Chordata, Mammalia, Artiodactyla, Bovidae. The record is from Rfam.